GAUGAACGCUGGCGGCGUGCCUUAGGCAUGCAAGUCGAACGGUUUCCGCAAGGAAGCAGUGGCAGACGGGUGAGUAACGCGUAGGAAUCUACCUCUGGGAGGACCAUAGCUUAUCGAAAGAUGGGGUAAUAGUCCAUAAUAUCGCAAGAUUAAAGGUCUUAACUGGCCGCCGAGAGAGGAGCCUGCGUCCUAUCAGCUUGUUGGCGGGGUAAAUGCCCACCAAGGCGAUGACGGGUAGCUGGACUGAGAGGUCGAUCAGCCACAACUGCACUGAGACACGGGCAGUACACCUACGGGUGGCAGCAACCAGGAAUAUUGGGCAAUGGACGCAAGUCUGACCCAGCGACGCCGCGUGGAGGAUGAAGGCCUUAGGGUCGUAAACUCCUUUUGAUAGUCCCUUCACGGACUAUAGAAUAAGCACCUACUAACUACGUGCCAGAAGUCUCGGUAAUACGUAGGGUGCAAGCGUUAUCCGGAUUCAUUGGGCGUAAAGUGUGCGUAGGCGGUUUGAUGGGUCUUCUCUUAAAGACCGAAGCCUAACUUCGGGAAUGGGGAAGAAACUAUCAAACUUGAGGAUUAUUAGGGAUACUGGAACAGUUAGUGUAGCAGUGAAAUGCGUUGAUAUUAACUGGAACACCAAGGGCGAAGGCAAGUAUCUGGGAUUUUCCUGACGCUGAGGCACGAAAGCUAGGGUAGCGAAACGGAUUAGAUACCCGUGUAGUCCUAGCCGUAAACAAUGUUCGCUAGCUCUUGCAAGCUUGCUUGCAGGGGUGUAAGCUAACGCGUUAAGCGAACCGCCUGGGGACUACGGCCGCAAGGCUAAAACUCAAAGGAAUUGACGGGGACCCGCACAACCGGUGGAGCGUGUGGUUCAAUUCGAGACAAAACGAAGAACCUCACCAGGGCUUGACAUACAAUCGUACAUUUCCCUGGAAACAGGGAGAAAUCCGCAAGGAUGAUUGCACAGGUGCUGCAUGGCUGUCGUCAGCUCGUGCCGUGAGGUGUUCCCUUAAGUGGGGAAACGAGCGCAACCCCCGUCCAAUGUUAAAUAUUCAUUGGAGACGGUCCCAUUUUUUGGGAAGGAAGGAGGGGAAGACGUCAAGUCAGCACGGCCCUUACGCCCUGGGCUACACACACACUACAAUGGCGAAGAACAAUGGGUUGCAACACAGCAAUGUGAAGCUAAUCCCUGAAAUUUCGCCUCAGUUCAGAUUGGGGGCUGAAAUUCGCCCCCAUGAAGUCGGAAUCGGUAGUAAUCGCGGAUCAGCAAGCCGCGGUGAAUACGUUCUCGGGUCU
Molecule: ribosomal RNA, 1296 nt
Filed under: uncultured soil bacterium
Lineage: Bacteria
Description: bacterial SSU rRNA
Rfam family: Bacterial small subunit ribosomal RNA
Source: RNAcentral